Molecule: transfer RNA, 72 nt
Organism: Ipomoea nil (Japanese morning glory)
Lineage: Eukaryota; Viridiplantae; Streptophyta; Magnoliopsida; Solanales; Convolvulaceae
Rfam family: tRNA
About the family: Transfer RNA (tRNA) molecules are approximately 80 nucleotides in length. Their secondary structure includes four short double-helical elements and three loops (D, anti-codon, and T loops).
Source: Rfam
GGGUGUUUGGUCUAGUGGUAUGAUUCUCUCUUUGGGUGCGAGAGGUCUCAAGUUCGAUUCUCGAAUGCCCCA